CCAAUAGCGUAUAUUAAAGUUGUUGCAGUUAAAAAGCUCGUAGUUGAAUUUCGGGGUUAGUAGGUUGGUCAUGCCUCUGGUAUGUACUGGUCUCACUGAUUCCUCCUUCCUGAUGAGCCGUAAUGCCAUUAAUUUGGUGUUGCGGGGAAUUUGGACUGUUACUUUGAAAAAAUGAGAGUGUUUAAAGCAAGCUAACGCUUGAAUACAUUAGCAUGGAAUAAUGAAAUAGGACGUUCGAUCCUAUUUUGUUGGUUUCUAGGAUUGACGUAAUGAUUAAUAGGGAUAGUUGGGGGCAUUAGUAUUCAAUUGUCAGAGGUGAAAUUCUUGGAUUUAUUGAAGACUAACUACUGCGAAAGCAUUUGCCAAGGAUGUUUUCAUUAAUCAAGAACGAAAGUUAGGGGAUCGAAGACGAUCAGAUACCGUCGUAGUCUUAACCAUAAACUAUGCCGACUAGGGAUCGGAUGAUGUUAAUUUUUUAAUGACUCAUUCGGCGCCUUACG
RNAcentral lists this ribosomal RNA (500 nucleotides) under uncultured Glomeromycotina. Its description in RNAcentral is "partial small subunit ribosomal RNA". It matches the Rfam family "Eukaryotic small subunit ribosomal RNA", at positions 591 to 1092 of the family's 1831-position model. The record is from RNAcentral. Lineage: Eukaryota; Fungi; Glomeromycota.